Molecule: long non-coding RNA, 593 nt
Organism: Humulus lupulus (European hop)
Lineage: Eukaryota; Viridiplantae; Streptophyta; Magnoliopsida; Rosales; Cannabaceae
Exons: 2
Source: RefSeq, a predicted model, not a curated record
GAUGGUCGCCAUCGUGCAGACAUCAGAUCAGGAGUACCAGACACCGCCAAAACUCCAGCCUCGCGAGCCCUUCGUUGCCGUUCUCCGCCGCGAGCAGAAGCCUCCAGGCUCGUACGUCGCUGUCGUGGAUUCAAGGCCAGUUUCUGGCCUCCUCCGACAUCGUCCAAGGCGAAAGGUAGCAUGGGUGGACUCAAGGUAUCAAGACGAACAAAGCCCAGCCAAGGAUCGAGCUUUUAAGUGACCGGAGGAUGGGGCUAAAAUAUUGAUAAGGUUGUUCGUGAGCAUGACCCGAAAGAGCCAACUAUUACUUCAUGCUGCAUCAAUUGUACGCCCCAUCUCAGUCUACUUUACGAAGUGUGCCUUUCGAGAAUUGAGGACAAAGAUAUAUUCAAUUAGGAAGAUAUUGUUGCUAUCCAUGGGUGUUGGUAUGCAGUAGUUUCUUCAUAUAUUUUCUGUCUAGUUUUAUUCUUAAUUUUUGUCAAGUUCUAGUGUUCAACUAUCAGACAAUGUUAUAAUUUCAUACGCAUUAAAUCUCUUAAUUAUGUCAAAGAUUCUCUCUCUCUCUAUAUAUAUAUGUGUAUGUGCUUGGGUUA